This is a long non-coding RNA of Rosa chinensis, 978 nucleotides long. RefSeq lists it as uncharacterized. The record is from RefSeq and is a predicted model, not a curated record. Lineage: Eukaryota; Viridiplantae; Streptophyta; Magnoliopsida; Rosales; Rosaceae. The transcript has 4 exons.
CCAUGAUUUAAUUAAACUUUUGUUUGUUUUGUUUGUUUUUUUUUUUUAUAAUUUUUUUCUGCUUGCAAGUGCAAUUAGAUCACCAAGCUUCACCUUCUUCUCCUCCUCUUUCAUGGCUUCAAAGGUGUCAUAAGGAGGACACACAGAUUAUUGCUGACAUUGAGAAUAUCAGCACAUGUAAUUGGAACUCAUCUUCAAUCUGCAAUGUCACCACCGGUUCAUUCUUUUUCGUUUUGGGGAUACCAGUGAGUGAAUUGGUGCGUUGGAAAGGGAACAAGGAAUCCAGCUGGAAAAGAUGAAAGUUGUUUGGUUGUGAUGGUGUGCAGGUACGUCAAGGGCCUUGGAAAAGCUUCGGUAGUGACCAAUUGCUUUGCUUUUGGAAGGAGCCAUUUCUUUUCUUAUUUGCUUCAUGGACAAUGAUCAUGACUCAUGAACAGGGCAUGGCACAUCCGAAAAGAGAGCUGCGGGCGCAGGAAAGAGCUUUGAUGGAGCCUUGUUUUCGUACUGCAUAGAGCUUCGUUGACACUCUGUUUGCUGCUGCAAAGCAUUUGUUGGUACUCAACAAGGCUUAGAAAGAAAUUCCACCGAAUUGGUCAUACGCUCAUUAAUACACAUAUAUCGUAAAUGAGAUUGCGACUGCUUGGGGACCUCCAUAGCUCCAUGGUGACACAAGUAAAAGAGAUGCUGCAUAGAAAAAGAAAGUAGCACGGGUAGAUCAGAGAGGCCCUAACCUUCGUGUUGUCUGCUUGUUGGCUCCUUGCUUCGAUCAAAAUUGCUGAAAACUUCUUCUCUCCUCUGCAGCAAGGCUUCACCUGUUUUUUGAUGUAUUUCCUGUGUGUUUUGCUCUAGCACUAUGCUCCUUUUUAUAGAGUGUAUUGUGAAAGCUGAGCUAUGAAUCAAAGACGAAUUCAGGAAGAAGAAGAUGAGAGAACGGGAGAGGGAGAAAACGUGAAAAAUGAGAGGACUACAUUGUUAUUG